GGGAAAGUGGCUCAGUGGUAGAGUGCUUGCCUUGCAUGCAUGAAGCCCUGGUUCAAUUCCGCAGCACCA
This 69-nucleotide transfer RNA is filed under the name Dipodomys ordii (Ord's kangaroo rat). It matches the Rfam family "tRNA". From Rfam's summary of the family: Transfer RNA (tRNA) molecules are approximately 80 nucleotides in length. Lineage: Eukaryota; Metazoa; Chordata; Mammalia; Rodentia; Heteromyidae. The record is from Rfam by way of RNAcentral.